ACUGAGGGUAGCGGAGAAAUUCCAAUCGAACUUGGAGAUAGCUGGUUCUCUCCGAAAUAGCUUUAGGGCUAGCCUCAAGUGAUGAUUAUUGGAGGUAGAGCACUGUUUGGACGAGGGGCCCUUCUCGGGUUACCGAAUUCAGACAAACUCCGAAUGCCAAUCAAUUUAACUUGGGAGUCAGAACAUGGGUGAUAAGGUCCGUGUUCGAAAGGGAAACAGCCCAGACCACCAGCUAAGGUCCCAAAAUAUAUGUUAAGUGGAAAAGGAUGUGGCGUUGCCCAGA
RNAcentral lists this ribosomal RNA (283 nucleotides) under Staphylococcus warneri. RNAcentral describes it as "partial 23S ribosomal RNA". It matches the Rfam family "Bacterial large subunit ribosomal RNA", at positions 808 to 1089 of the family's 2925-position model. The record is from RNAcentral. Lineage: Bacteria; Bacillati; Bacillota; Bacilli; Caryophanales; Staphylococcaceae.